UGUUGUGUAUUAUUGUUGUAAGAAAAAGGACUCAUAAUCCUUUGGUCGUAGGUUCAAGUCCUACUGGGCCCACCA
RNAcentral lists this transfer RNA (75 nucleotides) under Psychrobacter sp. RNAcentral's name for it is "tRNA-Met". The stretch from base 8 to 64 matches the Rfam family "tRNA", at positions 8 to 63 of the family's 71-position model. From Rfam's summary of the family: Transfer RNA (tRNA) molecules are approximately 80 nucleotides in length. Their secondary structure includes four short double-helical elements and three loops (D, anti-codon, and T loops). The record is from RNAcentral. Lineage: Bacteria; Pseudomonadati; Pseudomonadota; Gammaproteobacteria; Moraxellales; Moraxellaceae.